Molecule: long non-coding RNA, 836 nt
Organism: Pseudoliparis swirei
Lineage: Eukaryota; Metazoa; Chordata; Actinopteri; Perciformes; Liparidae
Exons: 3
Source: RefSeq, a predicted model, not a curated record
CGGCGAGUUCGGGCAUCACUGAAGAUUUAACACCGGCGGAAUCGGACGUCCACUGUCCUCGGCAUAACUAACCAGGUGUUCUCUUAUGCAAACUGCAUCGCCAUCAGAUGAAGCUGAUCACCCGGUCGAUGGCCUUGAGUCCUCUCCGCGGGACGAACAGACUUUUUUCCGCGCCUAAACGACCGAAGAGACGUAGAUCCGAGACAAUAACGCCCAGAAGUUAUUGAAAUGAGUCGAGCUGGCACCUGAAGAAAACAAUCGAACGAGCGCCUUCGCCACAGAAGGAAGAACGGGAAGCAGAAGAGCAAAUUAGGAAAAGACGAGCGAUGAAAGAGAGGGCAGCAGAUAAAGAGGGAGACGCCAUUCCAGCUGUGAGGAAGCAGACGAAGUCGACACACACACACAUACACACACACAGAGCUGGAGGCGCGUGAGCAGGUGAGCAUUAAGUCAGGCAGCUAACAGAUCACGUCGUGGUAUGAUGUCUGCAGACAGAGGAGGCCGGUCUGUACCUGCAGGCAGAGAGCAACAGCGGACAGCACACUCUCCAGGAAUGUGCUCCCCCUCCUGAGAAGGGAGAGGGGGAGAGAGAGAAGGAGAGAAAGAAAGACAAUAUUUUAUUAGAAGAAGCAGUGAUUGCUUUAAUAAUGAAAUCAUUAGGUGUGUAUUUCAGCCCAGCAUCUCAUAAAAAAGGUUUUAAAACAGGAUUUAUUUCAGAGCUAUGUUUAGUUUUUUUGCCCAUAUGCAACAAAGUGCAAUAACAACUUUUGUGUUGGUAAAGAACUUUAAAUAUUAAUAAAAAUUAGCUAAAAAUAAAGGAUGUUGGUGUAAUCUCA